RNAcentral lists this ribosomal RNA (233 nucleotides) under Hyphomonas sp. RNAcentral describes it as "partial 23S ribosomal RNA". It matches the Rfam family "Bacterial large subunit ribosomal RNA", at positions 2681 to 2925 of the family's 2925-position model. Lineage: Bacteria; Pseudomonadati; Pseudomonadota; Alphaproteobacteria; Hyphomonadales; Hyphomonadaceae. The record is from RNAcentral.
GUACGAGAGGACAGGGAUGAACACACCUCUGGUGGACCUGUUGUGGCGCCAGCCGCAUUGCAGGGUAGCUAUGUGUGGAAUAGAUAACCGCUGAAAGCAUCUAAGCGGGAAACUAACCUCAAAACCAGGUUUCCCUUGAGAGCCGUCCAAGACCAGGACGUCGAUAGGCCGGAUGUGGAAGCGCCGCGAGGUGUGAAGCUAACCGGUACUAAUUGCUCGAUAGGUUUGAUCUC